Coffea eugenioides is the source of this 337-nucleotide long non-coding RNA. RefSeq lists it as uncharacterized. The record is from RefSeq and is a predicted model, not a curated record. The transcript has 3 exons. Lineage: Eukaryota; Viridiplantae; Streptophyta; Magnoliopsida; Gentianales; Rubiaceae.
UUCUUCAUUCCAGCCGUGCAACUCCAAGGAAAAACAAGACCAAGUUCUUCAUUUUUCCUUCAUCAAAUCUUCAUCAAACCUCUUCCAAUUCACUCCAAAUUCGAACUACACUUAACUAAACAUUUAGAGAUCCCAUUGAGCUAAGAAAAGGAGCUGCUAUCCAUGGUUUUCUUGAGCAUCUAAGGGGCCGAAAUUUCUGCCUUCAUCCUCUAAUCAAGCGCUCAAGGGGACCUUCAAGAGGAACUCGAAGUGGACGUCUAGACAUUUGUUUGAGUAUUACUCUCUUGUUGCUAUAGGGUUCGAGACCAAGGGUGCUCGUGAGUAGUACUAGAUUGUU